UUGGUUGUGCCCUAGCUACCAGAACCACCAUUUCUGAACUCUUAUUGCUCUGUAACAAUCCUAUAGCUCAGGCAAGUCAAUUUUUCGUUGUGAAUCCUUUUUUUCAAAUUGUGUUCUGUGUAGCUUGUAGACUGGUUGUGCCCUUGCAUUCAGUUAUUAUUCUAUGUUUGAUAUUCACAAUUUCAUACAGGAUGCUGCUGUAUUAAUUGCUUUCCUGAUUUCUGUCGUGUUCCACGAGGUUUGUGUCUCUCUCUAAUGCUAUUUUAUCUAAUGAAAGAAGCAUCCAUUAUUUUCUUUUCUCUGGUUUGAGAAGUUGAAGGAAGGUGAUGUUGCCCCAGUCGUAGUCAUUACCUCUGAAGUAUUAUUUCUCGUUUUAUCCUUGAGAAGUUGUCAGUGUGGCUAAUGCCGCUGCUAUUUGUUCGGCUCAAGACUGUUGCUGCUGCUACCAGUUAGGAUGAACGGGUCAGGCUUAAUUUAUGUGGAUUUCGACACAUUGAGGUAGGGGAUUCAUUUCCAAACUAAACAUUUUAAAUCAUGAAUGCCAAUAAAGUGUUAGAUGAGGCUCUUCUAAAAUGCAAAUAGUUUAAAGAGUAAAGUGUUGUAUAUAUACAAACACUUAUGAUAAGAAAAUUAAUCUUCUUGCCUUAGGCUUGUUUGUAUGUUUUACAUUUACUUCUAGCAGCUGGUAAGUUAUCCUUCUUAGUUACUGAAUGAACAAUACAAGGCUGGAUUAAUUUCACACAAAUUUUAUUCAUGAGGCAAGGAAUUCUGAGAGAGCAGCCAAAAACUUGAGAAACAACAAAUUGAUCAGGGUUCCUCAUGUAUUCUGGGAUUUGACUAGCAGGCAAGUCCUAACAAUGCAGUUUUAUACAGGGCAAAAGCAGGAGGACAUGAUGUGAAGAAAAUAUGUUCUAUACAAAUAUAAGAUGGGAUGGGUCUUAUAAUGAUUUUGGUUAUCUAACUAUAUUAUUUUGAUGUGUUCUUUACAUUUUGAUAAGAGACGUUAUAAGGUAUUACAUGUAAUGGAUAAAUUACACCUUAUUUUGAUUAGUAUUGUAAUGGAUAUCUAGUUUUUAAUGAAACUUUCAUGAUUUACAUUUAUUGAA
Arachis duranensis is the source of this 1106-nucleotide long non-coding RNA. RefSeq lists it as uncharacterized. The record is from RefSeq and is a predicted model, not a curated record. The transcript is spliced from 3 exons. Lineage: Eukaryota; Viridiplantae; Streptophyta; Magnoliopsida; Fabales; Fabaceae.